GAUGAAGAACGCAGCGAAAUGCGAUACUUGGUGUGAAUUGCAGAAUCCCGUGAACCAUCGAGUCUUUGAACGCAAGUUGCGCCCGAAGCCACUAGGCCGAGGGCACGCCUGCCUGGGCGUCACACGUCGUUGCCCCCCCAUCUACUCCUUCGGGAUUGCGGGGGGGCGGAUGAUGGCCUCCCGUGCGCCUAGCCGCGCGGUUGGCAUAAAUACCAAGUCCUCGGCGACGCACGCCACGACAAUCGGUGGUUGCGAAACCUCGGUUGCCCGUCGUGUGCGUUCGUCGCGCAUCGAGGGCUCGAAAAAAUGCUCGGCUUCGGCUCGGCUUUCAACGCGACCCCAGGUCAGGCGGGGUUACCCGCUGAAUUUAAGAAUAUCAAUAAGCGGAGGA
This 391-nucleotide unclassified non-coding RNA is filed under the name soil metagenome. RNAcentral's name for it is "partial contains 5.8S ribosomal RNA, internal transcribed spacer 2, and large subunit ribosomal RNA". The stretch from base 1 to 122 matches the Rfam family "5.8S ribosomal RNA", at positions 35 to 154 of the family's 154-position model. The record is from RNAcentral.